Molecule: long non-coding RNA, 242 nt
Organism: Pomacea canaliculata
Lineage: Eukaryota; Metazoa; Mollusca; Gastropoda; Architaenioglossa; Ampullariidae
Exons: 2
Source: RefSeq, a predicted model, not a curated record
AAGGAUGGUUACGUGUGUCGUUGCACAAAUAAAAGCCUGGACACCUGGCUGUCUUCAGACUUACAGAUAGACGAGAUCACUGACUUCCAUACAGACAGACAAGACCAUGGCAAGCUGUGUUGGCUCUCCUGCUGUGUCUGGCAGUGACCACUGCCAGUCCGAGACAUCGCCGAGCGUCAGAUCUUUCAUUGUCCACGUCAUCAUUCGGAACCUCGAUGUACAAGCGUCUGGCAGCAGGUAAC